RNAcentral lists this ribosomal RNA (253 nucleotides) under uncultured bacterium. RNAcentral's name for it is "partial 16S ribosomal RNA". It matches the Rfam family "Bacterial small subunit ribosomal RNA", at positions 524 to 776 of the family's 1533-position model. The record is from RNAcentral.
UACAGAGGGUGCGAGCGUUAAUCGGAAUUACUGGGCGUAAAGCGCGCGUAGGCGGCUUUGCAAGUCGGGUGUGAAAUCCCCAGGCUUAACCUGGGAACUGCACUCGAGACUGCAUUGCUAGAGUAUGGGAGAGGGAAGUGGAAUUUCCGGUGUAGCGGUGAAAUGCGUAGAUAUCGGAAGGAACAUCAGUGGCGAAGGCGGCUAUCUGGCCCGUAAUUGACGCUGAGGCGCGAAAGCGUGGGGAGCAAACAGG